This 441-nucleotide ribosomal RNA is filed under the name uncultured bacterium. Its description in RNAcentral is "bacterial SSU rRNA". It matches the Rfam family "Bacterial small subunit ribosomal RNA", at positions 338 to 795 of the family's 1533-position model. The record is from RNAcentral.
UCUACGGGCGGCUGCAGUAGGGAAUAUUGCACAAUGGGCGAAAGCCUGAUGCAGCAACGCCGCGUGCGCGAAGAAGGCCUUCGGGUUGUAAAGCGCUUUUCGGGGAGAUGAGGAAGGACAGUAUCCCCGGAAUAAGGCUCGGCUAACUACGUGCCAGCAGCCGCGGUAACACGUAGGAGCCAAGCGUUAUCCGAAUUCACUGGGCGUAAAGCGCGUGUAGGCGGCUCGGUAAGUUGGAUGUGAAAUCUCCUGGCUCAACUGGGNGAGGACGUUCAAUACUGUCGGGCUAGAGGACGGCAGAGGGAGGUGGAAUUCCCGGUGUAGUGGUGAAAUGCGUAGAUAUCGGGAGGAACACCAGUGGCGAAGGCGACCUUCUGGGCCGAACCUGACGCUCAGACGCGAAAGCUAGGGGAGCAAACGGGAUUAGAUACCCGGGUANUC